GACGAACGCUGGCGGCGUGCUUAACACAUGCAAGUCGAACGGAAAGGCCCUGCUUGCAGGGUACUCGAGUGGCGAACGGGUGAGUAACACGUGGGUGAUCUGCCCUGCACUUCGGGAUAAGCCUGGGAAACUGGGUCUAAUACCGGAUAGGAGCCAUUUUUAGUGUGAUGGUUGGAAAGUUUUUUCGGUGUAGGAUGAGCUCGCGGCCUAUCAGCUUGUUGGUGGGGUAAUGGCCUACCAAGGCGGCGACGGGUAGCCGGCCUGAGAGGGUGGACGGCCACAGUGGGACUGGGAUACGGACCAGACUCCUACGGGAGGCAGCAGUGGGGAAUAUUGCACAAUGGGCGCAAGCCUGAUGCAGCGACGCCGCGUGGGGGAUGACGGCCUUCGGGUUGUAAACUCAUUUCGCUAGGGACGAAGCUUUUUGUGACGGUACCUAGAUAAGAAGCACCGGCUAACUACGUG
Molecule: ribosomal RNA, 465 nt
Filed under: uncultured bacterium
Lineage: Bacteria
Description: partial 16S ribosomal RNA
Rfam family: Bacterial small subunit ribosomal RNA
Source: RNAcentral